RNAcentral lists this long non-coding RNA (3334 nucleotides) under Pan troglodytes (chimpanzee). RNAcentral's name for it is "lincRNA". Lineage: Eukaryota; Metazoa; Chordata; Mammalia; Primates; Hominidae. The record is from RNAcentral.
UCUUUCAGGUUGGCUGCAGAAGGUCCGAAGAAAGAGGAGUUACUGGAGGAAAAAGUGGUUCAGAGGUGACUAUUCAACCGCAUAAGAGAUGGUGAAAAUUAACCUAUCACCACUGCUAAUGAACAUCACCCUAUGGAGAACCGGCUUGCAGCAUAAGUGCUGGAUAAUGAUAAUGUUCAGCAUUUAUGGAAUGCUUGUCAUGAUUGUGCCAGACACCGUGGAGAAGUCAGGCACCAUGUUAUGAGGACACUCAAGCAACCCUGUAGAAAGUUCCAUGUGGUGAGGAACUGAUACCUCCAAUCCAUGGCCAGUACCAAUUUACUUAGCAUGUGAGUGCAUCCUGGAAGUAGAUCCUCUUGUCUCAGCCAUGCCUGAAGCUGACUGCCAUCUCAUGGGAGGCCUCAAGCCAGAACUGUCCAGGCAAGCUGCUCCCAUAUUCUUGAUCCACAGAAACUGUGAAAUAAUUAAUGUUUAUGGUUGUUUCAAGUCACUUACAUUUUAAGUUCAUUUGUUAUGCAGCAGUAGAUAAUGGAAACUCUGUAAACAGGAGCCCAGUCUGGGGAGGAUGGAGAUAGUAAUCAGGAGAGGCUUCCUGGAGGAGGUGUUAGCUGAGCUAUGUCUUGUAGAAUGAGGAGUUCUGAGUAGGAGUUAGUGAGGCAGAGAGUGUUGGGGUGCUAAGGCUUUCCGGGCAGGAGGAACAAUAUGUAUAAAGGACCACUUCAGGCCCCAUCUUCUCUGCAAAGUCUUCCCUAACCAUUCACUGCCUGAGUCAUUCAUUUACUUACUCAUUCAUUCGACAAAGCUUUGAUGAGAGCCUCCUAUGUCCUGGGCUCCUUGCAGAGUACUGGGGUUGCUGUAAGUUGCAUAUUCUGAGACUGCUCAGUUGGGCAUAGAAAACUCAAAUGCCCACAAGGGCUAGGCAAGUAAUGCAAGCCAGGGAAGCUGAGUGGUGCACUGGGAGUCAGGGGUGAGGCCAGAGAGAAGUGGAGAGCCCAAUUCCCAAGAAAGGCCCAUCAUUUCUCAGCUCCAGUUGUCAGCUGGAAGCCCAAGUCGGCUGUCAGAAUGUAAGUCCAAAUCUGGCCAGAUCUUCCAAUUUAUCAAGAUAAUCUAGAAAUUGUAUUUUAGUAUAAAGUCUCCUCAUUUUCAAAAGGCAGCCAGCCCAAACUUGUGGUCAAAUUUCUCUCUUUCCAGCCUUCUGUUCAGGAGCUCCAUGAGUUGGCUGGUGGAGACUUCAGCUUCUCUCCUGCACUGACCGCAAAGCUUUGUCCUCUGCCUUCUGGUUAGCUUGAGUCCUGUGUGACUGGUGCAAUGACUAAUUGUCUCAAUAGUUUUCUAAGUGGUGGCAUGUAACACCUGAGCUCCACUGAUCUCCCAGGAAGGGAAAGAAAGUUGGUGUUUAUUCACAUGCAGACUUCCAUAGCUCCUCAGCAAAGCCCUCUGUAGCCCAACACCAUUAUGGUAAAGGUGUCGAAGCAAAAUUACAGAAUGUAAGGUAGUUUAAUCUGGUGGACAGUGAGCACUUUGUGCAUUUCUGAAGCCACGAUACCUACUGACAGCAUCCAGGGUUGGCCACCUAGUGACUUUUCAAGACACUGGUAUGUGGCUGUGGGAGUGUCCAUAUCUUAGAAAGAGGACAGUGAGUUUAUGGAAGCCUUCCUGUGUGCAAGCACGGGGCUUCCUGUGUGCAAGCAUGGGGCUGUGCAUACAGAAGCUUAUUUAAUCCUCCCAACAGCCCUGGAAGAUUGGUGUUAUCAUUGUUCUCAUUUGCAGAUGAGAAAACAGAGUCCCAGGGAAGCUUACUGAUUUGUCCAGGGUCUUGCAGCCAAUAAGAGGCAGGGCAGGCAUCUCUUUUGGGACUGUUAAAAGUCUAUGUUCUUAUCUACUCUGCUGUAAUUUUUCUCCCUGGCACUGAAAAAAAGAAAGCACUGGGGUUUCUGAGUUCUUAUUGGAGAGGAACAGAGCAAUGACAAUCUGAUUGGAGGAGGGUCAGGCUGUGGGGCAUGUAAAGCAGUGCCUAUAGAGCAGGCACAGCUUAUUGUUUUGUUUUGUUUUUCUCUCUUAGAAUGAGGUGCUUUCCCUUCUUCUCCUCCUACCCCCAAGUAAGCCCUUGGUGAUGCCACUGAGAGGGACCUAGUUAUGAAAGGAAUUUCAAGGACAACCCGUAUGUCAGAUUUAGUGACAUAGUUUGUACUGAGCUUGUGAGUUAUUAGUCAGGUGAGUCUUUUUCUCUAUUGUAUCAUGUACCUUGAUCUGUGGCGGGAAGCGGCACAAAGGAGAGGAAAUGCCAUAGGCUUUGGAGCCUGGGAAAUGUAAGUUUCAAUCCAGAUUCACUCACUAACUAGGUGUGUGACCUUGGACGCGUUGUAACCUGUCUGAGCUCCAGUCUCCCCUUCCGGCACACGAGGUCAAGAAUACGCAAUUUACAGCAACCUCAGGGCUCUUCGUGGAGCCUGGGACAGAGGAGGCUCUCACCAAAGCCUUGUAGAAUGAAUAAGUAAAUGAAUGAAUCAGUCAAUGAAUGGUUAGGGAAGACUUUGCAGAGCAGAUAGGGCUUGAAGCAGUCCUGGAGGAUUUAAUACGUGGAAAAGAGGAGGGAGAGAAUUGAAGAGAGGGAAUUGUAGGCAGGGAAAUGACAUAACCAGCGGCUUGGUGGAGAGAAUUCCAGGCUUAGAGGAUAAUGAAAGGCCAAUAUGGCUUCUGGUGGAGGAGAGGAUGGCCUAGGAGGGGCCUGCACCGACUUCCCCAUCCUGAUUAAAUUUCCUCAGUGGCCAAAGAGCGCUAGGUGCUGACACUAAUAGUUCCUUUAACAGGGCCUUUCAUCUCCUAUUCAAAGUGCUUUGCAAGUGUUAAUUAAAUCUCCAAACACCUCAUGAGGUAAAUAUUAUUUAUCCACCUUUUGUAGAUGAAGACAUUUAGGCACAAAGAGCGGUGAUUUUCCCAGGGCAAUGUCUAGAUGGGUGUCCAUUCCCACCUUCAUUCCAGAAUUGCCAAAACAUGUCUUUAGAAGAAAGCAGAAAAAACAAAUCAGAUCUUUUUUGCCAUCCCCCCUCCUAUAUCCUCAUACAUAUAAAAGACAGAAAUUAGGACAAAAAAAAGAUGUUAUUUCAGAUAUUUCUUAGUUAUUUUAAAGUCCCCCCAAUGCAUUCUCAAAUGUAUACCUCCCUUCCCAAUUUUUUAGAACUUACAGGUUACAAGGUUGAGAAAAUUGUUCAGUUGAAUGAUUCACAAGUAUAUUCAGGCCUAAAAAUCGGUGCUUUAUAUUUCUCAUCUGUAACACGGGACCCCUCUUUCAGAGUUGUUGUGAGGAUUGAAGGAGUAAAUUUAUACAAAAGCA